AGUAGUUCUUCUCCAUGGUUUUGACAGCUCCUGUUUAGAAUGGAGGUACACGUAUCCGUUGCUUGAGGAGGCUGGUUUUGAGACUUAGGCUGUGGACAUACUUGGUUGGGGUUUCUCUGAUUUAGAAAGGCUUCCACCAUGUAAUGUGGCAUCUAAGCGUGAACACUUUUAUCAGCUUUGGAAAUCACACAUCAAAAGGCCAAUUAUAUUGGUUGGAACAAGCCUUGGUG
Molecule: long non-coding RNA, 230 nt
Organism: Quercus lobata
Lineage: Eukaryota; Viridiplantae; Streptophyta; Magnoliopsida; Fagales; Fagaceae
Exons: 4
Source: RefSeq, a predicted model, not a curated record